GCUUGCUUCGGCAUAACAUAUACUAAAAUUGGAACUAUACAGAGAAGACUAGCAUGGCCCCUGCACAAGGAUGACAUGCAAAUUCAUGAAGUGUUCCGUAUUGAC
Nannospalax galili (Upper Galilee mountains blind mole rat) is the source of this 105-nucleotide small nuclear RNA. The record is from Ensembl. NCBI's taxonomy places the organism in Eukaryota, Metazoa, Chordata, Mammalia, Rodentia, Spalacidae.